AGAUCCUAACGACUGCAACGACACACCAAAGUCCGUCACAGAAACCGCCACUUCGACGACAACAAAGAAUGUCACACAGACAGUGACACAGAUAUCCACAACUACUUCGGCGACAACGAACACUAAAACAGUGACCUCUACGAUAACCUCUACUUCUGCAACUGCCACUGUGACUGUUACUCUUGCAAAUGGUUAUGUAACAGUCACUAAACCGUGUGUUUUGGACCCUCGAUACGACACCAUCGAGAACCUGAGGACGAGUCUGAAGGAGGAAUCGAAGGGAUGGAAGUGGUCAGAAUAGAGCCUUGAGGAACGCCUCGGGUCUCGCUGUAAGGAAGGUGGACGCGCCGAGAUAAUUUUAU
Non-coding RNA from Penaeus vannamei (Pacific white shrimp), 362 nucleotides. NCBI's taxonomy places the organism in Eukaryota, Metazoa, Arthropoda, Malacostraca, Decapoda, Penaeidae. The record is from RefSeq and is a predicted model, not a curated record.